This is a long non-coding RNA of Apis mellifera (honey bee), 522 nucleotides long. RefSeq lists it as uncharacterized. The record is from RefSeq and is a predicted model, not a curated record. Lineage: Eukaryota; Metazoa; Arthropoda; Insecta; Hymenoptera; Apidae. The transcript is spliced from 2 exons.
UGUAUAUAUACCUAUCUAGAUAAUAUUACGAUCCUCUAGAAAAUUGCAUAUUGGCAACCUUGGUUCCUGUCUCGCUUUACAACCGAGCCCGCCGUGGUUUGCUUUCGGGGUGAGGUCUCUCAGUUUGUUUUCCAGUGACCUGGUUUUCGCAGACAGGCAGAGUGUUUCUCUUUAUUCUCUGCUCCCCCCACCCCUCCCCAGACAAAUUUCUAUACCGUUCGACGGUACUUGAGAAAAGAAACUGGUCACUGAUGAGAUUGGACAGAGAUAUAUAUUGCAAUAUAGAAAAAAAUCAACGAUAAUAUAUAUAUGUAUAUAUUUAUAUUUAUGUAUAUAUAUAUAUAUCUCGAGUUCCUUUGUCCUGAAAGGAUCAACCAUGGCGGUAUGCGGGUAAUGCUUGGUCUAGUUAGCCCAACGAUUAAAUUUCCUCUGUGCUCGUUUCAAUUCGGAUAUAUUCGUGUUCGGAGAUCCGUGCCAAAAUUGAUAUAUAGAGAUAGAAAAGGAGAAUAGAAAGAAAAAAAA